CAACAUCGCAUCAAAUAAAAUUAAAGAAAAUUACAAAUAAGAGAGGGGGACCAAGUCAAAACCUCCCAAAAGGAAAAGCAAGUAAAGAGCACUCUUAAUUAAAAAUCCAAUUAGGAUUCCUAGAGCCUAACUGAAAUCAAUUAAAAGUAAAUAUAACAUUUAAAAAAAGAGAGAGAAAAAAAUGAAGGGCUUAACGCCUUAAAGUAGAAUGAAACACAAAGCGAAAUGAUAAUGCCCUCUAGCUCUAUUUCUAAUUAUCAUUGGGUGCCUGACUUUCUUCUAGUAACGAGUUUAAAAUCUUCAUCAUUUUCAGUUUGGGAAGUGUUAGCAUCCAUCGCUAAAUCUUCCCUCCAAGGAGCGGCAACGAGAGUUGUUGCAAGGCUGGUAUCCCACGAAUCGAUCAAAUACAUACACCCAUGAAGGCUAUUUCGUCCUCAACAAUAUUCCUUUUUUUCACUGUAGAAGGAGGUGACUGUAGAAAACAACAAACCAAAAAUGAAGAAUGGAGGAGAAAGAGAGAGAACCGAUUGAUGGCAGCCUCCAAACUUAGGACAAAACGUAAGAUUACAAUGAUUAAUAUAGUACAAAACUAAGGAAACAUAAGAAGACUAAACUACCCUUAACCUAAUUAACUUAUUAAGUUAACAUCCCUCCUCAAACUCACAAUGCUACGACAAGGAGCAACGAGAGUUUGACCAACAAAAAGCGUAAAUGAUAAAUCGAAUUUGACUUCACGGCAAAAUCUACAAGCUGCAACGACGGAGAGCAACGAAAGGUAGGGAAAUGAUGCCGAACUGCAGAUAACCAACGAAACCACACAAUCUCAGCUAAGCCAAACGGAUGCAAAUUUCAAAUUCCAAAUGAACGUGACAUAUCAAUUCCAAGAACUGACUAUGCCAAAUUCCAAACUCCAGAUAGACUGGACAAACGAAAUUUCUAAUCCCAUAAACUGAGCAAACAAACGAAAUUCCCAAAUCCCGUUAACCGGGCAUCAAACAAAAUUUUCAAUCCCACAAACUGGGCACAAAUUUCCAAUUCAAACUCGACAAAUGCAAAAUUUAAGGCAACCACCCCUAACAUCACAUCCCCAUCUUUCUCGUCACAAUGAACUCAUCAAAAUCAGCAUAGCAACAGUAUCCCAAAAUUCAAACUUUGGCUCCUCUUCUCCAUCCAUUCAUCCAUUGAAAGCCCAAAUAAAACUAAACCCAUACUCAAACAAUAACCAAGCCCAACAGUAAACUCAAUUGACCAAAACCCAAGUUAAAACCCAACUCAUAAUCUAUAGCCCAAAUAAUAUUUCCACCCAAUCAAACAAGCCCCAUUUAACUCAAGCCCAACCUUCAGCCCAAUUGCUCACAAAUAGGUUAACUUAAAACAUAUACUACAGGCUACAGCCCAUGUGCCAUUUAACAAAAUAUCCAAUUAAAUUACUGGCACAUUAGCCCAAUGACCAUCCCAGCAGGCCGAACUAACCAAUCCACUAAACCACAAACGCAUAAAUUUCGUCCCAACAAACAAACAACCCAUAACUAACCAGCCCAAGUAUUAUCAACUAGCCCAAUCUACAACUUUGGCCUAUUUCGGCAAACCCAUCAACCCGGCAAGCCAACAUAAACAAAUCCAUAUUUUAUUAACCAAAACCCACAUAUCAUAGACCCAAUUUCAUGCUCCAGCAGUCCAGUACCCAUAACCCACGAAACCAAACCUGGCCCAAUCUCCCUAACUUCAUCUUCUCCAGCAUUGCGGCUGCGACUGCCUCUCGUCGACACCAACCCACAUCCAACAUUACCAACCACCAUAUGUGCCACUUCUUACAACCAUAAUACUGUACCGACCCCCCCUACCCCAAAAAAACAUUUUUUUUUAAAACAGUUUUGAAAAAUAGAAUGGACUCGAUUUUGGCAUGGGCUAAUAAAAAUUUAGGGAAGUAGCCCAAAUCUAAAAAUAAUUUUAGCAGCCCAGGAAAAAAUACUGCAAAUGGAAGGCCCAAUUAAAUCAAUCACCAACCCAAGAGCCCAAUUACUCACAAAUCACAGUCCAAUUAAAAACUCAUUAAGCCUCAACCACAGAAGCCCUACAGCAACCGUCCGCCACUCUACGCCGCUGACAUCUGCCUUCUUCUCCAUGGGUCUCGUCGCCGGCCACCACUUCUCCAACUCCUAACUCCUACAACAACAAUACUUAAACAACCUAUAAACCACUGCUACACCAGAGCAAGGGACCACAGAUUUCGAUGACUUCGAAGAAGAAUUGAAUGCCGGAAACACAAGUCACAAGCCCAGCAAAACACUGAAGAAAUCGGUAGUCCACAAUAGGAAAAAGCACAGAUCUUUCGGACCAAUAUGCCCUCCCUAUCACCGAAUCGCUGUUGCAGUCUCAAUCGAACAGAUUUGGGAGGCCAACUCAUGACAGAAACCGAACCUAGACAACCUUUCCUUUUUCUUUUUUUAUUCCCAAGCAGCCUGCAAUUUUUCGGUUUCGGUGGGAAUUAUAUAUGUAUCCAAAUAAGCCUUUCAACCACUUUUGUGUUCCAAUUUUAGAAUCCAAUGCUGCCGCCCACUUCAUUUGUUUAUUAAGAAAUCCAAUUCUCUAAUUCCAGCCGCCCAACUUCUCUACUUGCUUCUGUUUUCUGUGCUUGUAAUUUAAUGAAUUCAGCCACUUAAUUUCCAGCCUCCAUCGCCUUUUCGAAUAACCUAAAUUAACAAACAAAUGGACCUCCAAUUCUCACAGAAAGCAUCGGUGAAAUUGAGGCGUAUUUAUUCCAGAUAGUACUAAGAAGGGUCUGACCCAUUUGCCGAACAGAAGAAGACUCCAUCAGUUUAACACAAAAGGAGAUUUGAAAUUGACAAUAGCAGACUGGGAUUUUUUUUGGUUGCAGAGGAGAUUGGGAACGAGAAAUAUGUGUGGGAAUGAGAAAUAUGUGAAGAAACGUAAAGAAAAAAAUUAAACCACAGAAAAAAAUUUGACCAACGGCCGGACGAGCGGCAUGAGGCCGCUCGCCUGAGAACGGAAGUUUGCUAGUGUUAACCCAAAAUCAAACCCACUCUGAUAUCACGUAGAAAACAACAUACCAAAGAUUAAGAAUGGAGGAGAAAGAGAGAUAAUCGAUUGAUGGCAGCCUCCAAACUUAGGGCAAAAUGUAAGAUUAUAAUGGUUUAUAUAGUACAAAACUAAGGAAACAUAAUAAGACUAAACU
This 3196-nucleotide long non-coding RNA is filed under the name Olea europaea subsp. europaea. The record is from RNAcentral. Lineage: Eukaryota; Viridiplantae; Streptophyta; Magnoliopsida; Lamiales; Oleaceae.